ACCUACGGGAGGCAGCAGUAGGGGAUUUUCGUCAAUGGGCGCAAGCUUGAACGAGCAAUGCCGCGUGAACGAGGAAGGUCUUCGGAUCGUAAAGUUCUGUUGAAGGGGAAAAAGAGCGGAGAGAGGAAAUGAACUCCGAUUGAUAUUACCCUUCGAGGAAGUCACGGCUAACUACGUGCCAGCAGCCGCGGUAAUACGUAGGUGGCGAGCGUUAUCCGGAAUGAUUGGGCGUAAAGGGUGCGUAGGCGGCCUGCUAGGUCUGGAGUGAAAGGUACCGGCUCAACCGGUACAGGCUCUGGAAACUG
Molecule: ribosomal RNA, 305 nt
Filed under: uncultured bacterium
Lineage: Bacteria
Description: bacterial SSU rRNA
Rfam family: Bacterial small subunit ribosomal RNA
Source: RNAcentral